UUCCAUUUCAUUGCAAUUUGAGACCAAAAGUGAAAGAACAAACGAAAAACAGUGAACAAUUUCCCAUGAAAAUGUAAAUUUUACAAAAAAAAUUUUCACCUUUUGUUAUUUGAACUACCAUUUUCAUUGCCCUACCAUCUGCUAAAUGCACAAGCCACUAGAUUCCUAAUUGCAAAGAGCCCAAGCUUCGCUCUAAACAAAGCCAAUCUCCCAUUACUAUUCGAUGGACCACCUGCAACCACUAUUUGACCACUCAUUUCAGGAAACUCUAAACCACUUUCUUGGCCUACACCAUCACUCAUACUAGCAUCUAAACCUUCAUUGUCACUACCAGCAGCAUCAAAAUUAACAACUAGCGAGGCUUUUUGCCGCUGCAAGCACUCCACAACUUCACUGCUCACUCCUCUGCAUUGC
This 414-nucleotide unclassified non-coding RNA is filed under the name Hevea brasiliensis (rubber tree). The record is from RNAcentral. Lineage: Eukaryota; Viridiplantae; Streptophyta; Magnoliopsida; Malpighiales; Euphorbiaceae.